GUGGGGAAUAUUGGACAAUGGGCGCAAGCCUGAUCCAGCAAUGCCGCGUGGGUGAAGAAGGCCUUCGGGUUGUAAAGCCCUUUUGUACGGGAAGAAAUCAUACGGGUUAAUACCCUGGGUGGAUGACGGUACCGUAAGAAUAAGCACCGGCUAACUUCGUGCCAGCAGCCGCGGUAAUACGAAGGGUGCAAGCGUUAAUCGGAAUUACUGGGCGUAAAGCGUGCGUAGGUGGUUGUUCAAGUCUGUCGUGAAAGCCCUGGGAUCAACCUGGGAAUGGCGAUGGAAACUGGGCGACUAGAGUGCGGUAGAGGAUGGCGGAAUUCCCGGUGUAGCGGUGAAAUGCGUAGAGAUCGGGAGGAACAUCCGUGGCGAAGGCGGCCAUCUGGACCAGCACUGACACUGAGGCACGAAAGCGUGGGGAGCAAACAGGAUUAGAAACCCGAGUAGUCC
This 450-nucleotide ribosomal RNA is filed under the name uncultured bacterium. RNAcentral's name for it is "partial 16S ribosomal RNA". It matches the Rfam family "Bacterial small subunit ribosomal RNA", at positions 354 to 796 of the family's 1533-position model. The record is from RNAcentral.